Molecule: ribosomal RNA, 402 nt
Filed under: Plasmodium inui
Lineage: Eukaryota; Apicomplexa; Aconoidasida; Haemosporida; Plasmodiidae
Description: bacterial SSU rRNA
Rfam family: Eukaryotic small subunit ribosomal RNA
Source: RNAcentral
CUUGGUUGUCUUUUAUUAAAUGAUUCUUUUUAGAGCUUUCUUUUUUGCUUCGGCAUUUUAGGAGAUCUUGUUACUUUGAGUAAAUUAGAGUGUUCAAAGCAAACAGAUUAUAGCAUCUUUAUGCGUUUGAAUACUACAGCAUGGAGUAACAAAAUUGAACAAAUGAAAAUUUUGGUCGAAUUUGCCUUUUGGCUUAAAAACAAUUAAUAGGAGUAGCUAAGAGGCAUAUGUAUUCAGAUGUCAGAGGUGAAAUUCUUAGAUUUUCUGGAGACAAACAACUGCGAAAGCAUUUGCCUAAAAUACUUCCAUUAAUCAAGAACGAAAGUUAAGGGAGUGAAGACGAUCAGAUACCGUCGUAAUCUUAACCAUAAACUAUGCCGGACUUAGGCCUUUGGGGGAAAU